This 628-nucleotide ribosomal RNA is filed under the name uncultured bacterium. Its description in RNAcentral is "bacterial SSU rRNA". It matches the Rfam family "Bacterial small subunit ribosomal RNA", at positions 554 to 1177 of the family's 1533-position model. The record is from RNAcentral.
CUGGGCGUAAGAGCGCGUAGGCGGGGAUUUAAGUCAGGAGUGAAAACUGUCGGCUCAACCGACAGCCUGCUCUUGAAACUGGAUCUCUUGAGGGUAUGAGAGGAAAGCGGAAUUCCCAGUGUAGCGGUGAAAUGCGUAGAUAUUGGGAGGAACACCAGUGGCGAAGGCGGCUUUCUGGCAUACAACUGACGCUGAGGCGCGAAAGCGUGGGGAGCAAACGGGAUUAGAUACCCCGGUAGUCCACGCCGUAAACGAUGGGCACUAGGUGUAGGAGGUAUCGACCCCUUCUGUGCCGUAGUUAACACAAUAAGUGCCCCGCCUGGGGAGUACGGCCGCAAGGUUGAAACUCAAAGGAAUUGACGGGGGCCCGCACAAGCGGUGGAGUAUGUGGUUUAAUUCGACGCAACGCGAAGAACCUUACCAGGGCUUGACAUCCCCUGACCGCCAUGGAAACAUGGUUUUCUGCCUUCGGGCAGACAGGGAGACAGGUGGUGCAUGGUUGUCGUCAGCUCGUGUCGUGAGAUGUUGGGUUAAGUCCCGCAACGAGCGCAACCCUUAUCUUUAGUUGCCAUCAGGUAGAGCUGGGCACUCUAGAGAGACUGCCGGUGACAAACCGGAGGAAGGUGGG